GUAGUCAUAUGCUUGUCUCAAAGAUUAAGCCAUGCAUGUCUAAGUAUAAGCAAUUAUACAGCGAAACUGCGAAUGGCUCAUUAUAUAAGUUAUCGUUUAUUUGAUAGUACCUUACUACUUGGAUAACCGUGGUAAUUCUAGAGCUAAUACAUGCUAAAAAUCCCGACUUCGGAAGGGAUGUAUUUAUUAGAUUAAAAACCAAUGCCCUCCGGGGCUCACUGGUGAUUCAUGAUAACUCCUCGAAUCGCAUGGCCUUGCGCCGGCGAUGGUUCAUUCAAAUUUCUUCCCUAUCAACUUUCGAUGUUUGGGUAUUGGCCAAACAUGGUUGCAACGGGUAACGGAAU
Molecule: ribosomal RNA, 344 nt
Filed under: uncultured Fusarium
Lineage: Eukaryota; Fungi; Ascomycota; Sordariomycetes; Hypocreales; Nectriaceae
Description: SSU rRNA
Rfam family: Eukaryotic small subunit ribosomal RNA
Source: RNAcentral